AAGUCGUAACAAGGUUACUGUAGGUGAACCUGCAGUAGGAUCAUUAUUGAAAAAUAGGGCUUUCCCAUUCUUUGGGGCCCGAACCUUCACAUAAUUUCCACACACUUGUGAAUCGUUGGAGCGUUUUUGGAAGGAUUGGCUUCUGGCCUUUUCGGAAAAGUGACGCUCUGGCACCCAAUCAAUUAUUACAAACACUGAGUUAAUGGAUGUAGUUGUAAACUUGUCUUUUGACAGAAACAAAAAUACAACUUUCGACAACGGAUCUCUUGGUUCUCC
This 276-nucleotide unclassified non-coding RNA is filed under the name Golubevia pallescens. RNAcentral's name for it is "partial internal transcribed spacer region". The stretch from base 1 to 46 matches the Rfam family "Eukaryotic small subunit ribosomal RNA", at positions 1786 to 1831 of the family's 1831-position model. The record is from RNAcentral. Lineage: Eukaryota; Fungi; Basidiomycota; Exobasidiomycetes; Golubeviales; Golubeviaceae.